GGGGAUGACAGGCUUCGACGGGAGAGGCUGGUUCCGGAAUGCGAGCCGAGCGCGCGCCGACCUCGUAAAAUCAGCGCAAACUUUAAGUGCCAACAACCGCACUUACGCCGCUAUGCCCCUCGCCGCCUAGUGCGACGAGAUCGUAACGGUUGGCGCCUAAGGGCGUCACGUCCACCGUCCCCGUUCCCCACCCGGUGACGGACCGGGCGAGACAAAGGUAGGGUGCCGUGUGUGACUCCGCUAAACACGCGAAAGACCAGCGGAUGGUCGCAGGCUUACCAGCCGGCCGGGAUGCAUGCGAUGACGAAUAACGGCAGGCUACGCUCGUAGAGUUCCGAGGGUCGAAUCUUUCGGACGCGGGUUCAAUUCCCGCCAUCUCCACC
This 383-nucleotide transfer-messenger RNA is filed under the name Anaerolineaceae bacterium. It matches the Rfam family "transfer-messenger RNA". Rfam says of the family: Bacterial tmRNA, also known as 10Sa RNA or SsrA, is named for its dual tRNA and mRNA-like properties. Its role is to liberate the mRNA from a stalled ribosome. Lineage: Bacteria; Bacillati; Chloroflexota; Anaerolineae; Anaerolineales; Anaerolineaceae. The record is from RNAcentral.